Molecule: small nuclear RNA, 21 nt
Filed under: Arabidopsis thaliana (thale cress)
Lineage: Eukaryota; Viridiplantae; Streptophyta; Magnoliopsida; Brassicales; Brassicaceae
Description: snRNA_11870
Source: RNAcentral
UAUGGUGCAGAAAAACCCAAA